RNAcentral lists this long non-coding RNA (1469 nucleotides) under Oreochromis niloticus (Nile tilapia). RNAcentral describes it as "lncRNA (ENSONIG00000032423.1)". Lineage: Eukaryota; Metazoa; Chordata; Actinopteri; Cichliformes; Cichlidae. The record is from RNAcentral.
AUGCCUCAGAUGAGCUUUAUUCUCAUGUUUUUAGUGAUGAGAUUUUCUGCUUCUGAGGAAGUGAAGAAGAACCUGACGGGCACUGUGGGAGGAAACAUCACUCUACCUGCACCUGUGCUGGAGAAAGGAUAUCUGUUAUAUGGAAGAACGAUUAUUGCUGAUGUGAUUAAGGGAGAAUUUCAAGUAUUUGUGGAAAAGUACAAGAACCGACUUCAGUGGGACAGAAACUCUGGACUCUUUACACUCACAGAGCUGCAGAGGAACGACUCAGGGAUUUAUACUGUCGACUCUAAAACAGGAAAAGUUUUCACAUCAUCAUAUAAGCUGACAGUGUACGACUCUGUACCGACUCCUGCAGUGAAGAAAGUGAGUGUGAGCUCUGAGAGCUGCUCCUUACUGUGUUUGGUGGACAGAGAGACCACACUGCUGUGGUUUAAAGACGAGCAGAGACUGAACCAGAGCAGCUCUGCGCUCUCUCUGCCUCUCACUGUGCACAAACAGGACUUCAGCUCCUCUUACAGAUGUGUGGCUGCAAACCCUGCAGACGAGAAAACUCUUCCUGUCCCUGUGAAUACGACCUGUGGAGACACAGACGACACAGGUGUGACCUUCACUGAAACACUGGAAAUAACAACGCUUUUAGGUGCAGUUUGAAAUCGUCUUCUAAACCCGAGGAGAGGAACGUGAUCCAGAGCACAGCUGACCUCAAAAUGCAUGUUUUAGAGCAGAUUUUAGCUCUAAAUAUAUUAUUUCAUGCAGGUUUUCCCAGCAUAUAUCUUAUUACCAUUACUCUUCUGACUACACACAGUUAUACCCCCUGCCCCUCUGUGAUUUAAACGCAGCUCACACAGUAUAAAGGCUAACUCCAGCUGGAUGGAUAAAAUCGAAACAUAAAAGAAACAUAAAUGUUCUUUUGAAAUGUUGCACAGAUUUGAAACUCUGAGGUGAUCACAGGCCUCAUUCUCACAUGAGCAGCAUAGUUAAAACCUGCUUUUUACCAUCAGUGAAUGUGCAUGAAAUGCUGAAUGCUUCUGAUCCUGGAGGAUUGUAACUCACUGCUCACAGGAAUCACAAAACAGCAGCAGACUCUGCUUCAGCUCCUGGGUUUGAGUUUAAAAUGGGAAUCCGUCUACGAGCUGCACUGAGAUCAUCACAUCAGGUUUCCAGUUAGUUUUGUGGUUGAUUUUUAAAUCUCAGGGAUGUUUUUAAGGCCUGUGUGUCUGGGAGCUCAGUAUCUCUCUGCUGCUCUCACCUCCAUCGCGUUUAAAGGAGAAGUGGAGAGGAGAGGUGGACUGAUGUUUCCUCAACUCAUCUCUAAUCACACCUGAGAGGUUAAAGGUCAGCAUCCAGCCUUUUGUGUUUGAAAUGAUGAAGAGUACUAUAAACUAACAGAGUUUAUCUACAUGUGCUUUUGGUAAAAAUAAAUCCUCUUUAUUAUUAAUCAAAGAAGAGUUUCUGUUGUAUUGUUG